AUUGAACGCUGGCGGCAGGCCUAACACAUGCAAGUCGAACGAGUGGCGGACGGGUGAGUAAUGUCUGGGAAACUGCCCGAUGGAGGGGGAUAACUACUGGAAACGGUAGCUAAUACCGCAUACCAUCGGAUGUGCCCAGAUGGGAUUAGCUAGUAGGGUGGGUAACGGCUCACCUAGGCGACGAUCCCUAGCUGGUCUGAGAGUCUGACCAGGCACACUAGAACUGAGACACGGGCCAGACUCCUACGGGAGGCAGCAGUGGGGAAUAUUGCACAGUGGGCGCAAGCCGGAUGAAGCCAGGCCGCGUGUAUGAAGAAGGCAGUCGGGUUGUAAAGUACUUUCAGCGAGGAGGCGUGACUCGCAGAAGAAGCACCGGCUAACUCCGUGCCAGCAGCCGCGGUAAUUC
Molecule: ribosomal RNA, 406 nt
Filed under: uncultured bacterium
Lineage: Bacteria
Description: partial 16S ribosomal RNA
Rfam family: Bacterial small subunit ribosomal RNA
Source: RNAcentral